CCUACGGGUGGCAGCAGUGAGGAAUAUUGGUCAAUGGCCGGAAGGCUGAACCAGCCAAGCCGCGUGAGGGAGGAAGGUCCAGAGCGUCGCAAACCUCUUUUGCCAGGGGACAAAAGCACGGCCUCGUCCCCUGCUGAGUGUACCCGGAGAAAAAGCAUCGGCUAACUCCCUGCCAGCAGCCGCGGUAAUCCGGUGGAUGCGAGCGUUAUCCGGAUUGAUUGGUUUUAAAGGGUGCGCAGGCGGUCGAUAAAGUCGGCGGUUAAAUCGCGGGGCUCAACCCCGCCGGGCCGUUGAAACUGUGGGUCUAGAGUGCGACAGAGGUAUGCGGAAUGCGCGGUGUAGCGGUGAAAUGCAUAGAUAUCGCGCAGAACACCGAUUGCGAAGGCAGCGUGCCGGGCCGACACUGACGCUGAGGCACGAAAGCGUGGGGAUCGAACAGGAUUAGAUACCCCAGUAGUC
This 459-nucleotide ribosomal RNA is filed under the name uncultured bacterium. RNAcentral describes it as "partial 16S ribosomal RNA". It matches the Rfam family "Bacterial small subunit ribosomal RNA", at positions 338 to 795 of the family's 1533-position model. The record is from RNAcentral.